CCUACGGGAGGCAGCAGGGAGGAAUAGUGGGCAAUGGACGAGAGUCGGAACCAGCCAAGCAGCGUGAAGGAGGAAGGCCCUAUGGGGUGUAAACUUCUUUUAUAGGGGAAUAAAAUGUUCCACGUGUGGGAUUUUGUAUGUACCCUAUGAAUAAGGAUCGGCUAACUCCGUGCCAGCAGCCGCGGUAAUACGGAGGAUCCGAGCGUUAUCCGGAUUUAUUUGGUUUAAAGGGAGCGUAGGUGGCUUGUUAAGUCAGUUGUGAAAGUUUGCGGCUCAACCGUAAAAUUGCAGUGGAAACUGGCAGUCUUGAGUGCCGUCGAGGUGGGCGGAAUUCGUGGUGUAGCGGUGAAAUGCUUAGAUAUCACGCAGAACUCCGAUUGCGAAGGCAGCUCACUGGACUGCAACUGACGCUGAGGCUCGAAAGUGUGGGUAUCAAACAGGAUUAGAUACCCUUGUAGUC
This 460-nucleotide ribosomal RNA is filed under the name uncultured bacterium. RNAcentral describes it as "partial 16S ribosomal RNA". It matches the Rfam family "Bacterial small subunit ribosomal RNA", at positions 338 to 795 of the family's 1533-position model. The record is from RNAcentral.